RNAcentral lists this long non-coding RNA (372 nucleotides) under Olea europaea subsp. europaea. Lineage: Eukaryota; Viridiplantae; Streptophyta; Magnoliopsida; Lamiales; Oleaceae. The record is from RNAcentral.
GAUGUUAUGAUAUAGGUUUAUUAAAUUGAAGGAAAUCGGCAAAAGUUGGCGAAAUUGGAUGAAAGGACCAAGUUGUGAGAGAUCCAAAGUUCGGGGACUAAAAUGCAAUUAAUCAAAAGUUGUGUCGAACCUUGCAAUGAAGAUUUGAGAGUGUUGGGGAGUCAAUUGGAUGAAGAAAGAUGUCAAAGGGGUCAAAUUUAGUCAAAAUAUGAUCACAAAUCAAUUUCCAACCAACAAGUUAUGCUUCGGAGUUUUAGCCUCAUAUUGAGAUCCAUUUUUGACAUAGCAAACGAUUGAAUUGGAGAAUGAUGCCUGAAGCAAAGUUGUAACCCUUUGAAUUAGUUUUCCAACGCAUCUUGAAUCACUUCAAUC